RNAcentral lists this ribosomal RNA (303 nucleotides) under uncultured bacterium. Its description in RNAcentral is "bacterial SSU rRNA". It matches the Rfam family "Bacterial small subunit ribosomal RNA", at positions 28 to 339 of the family's 1533-position model. The record is from RNAcentral.
GACGAACGCUGGCGGCGUGGCUAAGACAUGCAAGUCGAACGGACGUAGCAAUACGUCAGUGGCGGACGGGUGAGUAAUGUAUCGCUAAUGUACCCUGGAGUCCGGGAUAGCUGACCGAAAGGUCAGGUAAUACCGGAUGAUAUCCUCUUGUCGCAUGAUGAGGGUCUCAAAGGAGCAAUCCGCUCUGGGAGCAGGCGAUAUCGUAUCAGGUAGNGGUAGGGUAACGGCCUACCAAGCCGACGACGCGUAGCUGGUCUGAGAGGACGGCCAGCCACAUCGGGACUGAGACACUGCCCGGACUCC